CGAACGCUGGCGGCGUGCUUAUCACAUGCACGUCGAACGGAAAGGCCCUGCUUUUGUGGGGUGCUCGAGUGGCGAACGGGUGAGUAACACGUGAGUAACCUGCUCUUGACUUUGGGAUAACUUCAGGAAACUGGGGCUAAUACCGGAUAGGAGCUCCUGCUGCAUGGUGGGGGUUGGAAAGUUUCGGCGGUUGGGGAUGGACUCGCGGCUUAUCAGCUUGUUGGUGGGGUAGUGGCUUACCAAGGCUUUGACGGGUAGCCGGCCUGAGAGGGUGACCGGCCACAUUGGGACUGAGAUACGGCCCAGACUCCUACGGGAGGCAGCAGUGGGGAAUAUUGCACAAUGGGCGGAAGCCUGAUGCAGCAACGCCGCGUGCGGGAUGACGGCCUUCGGGUUGUAAACCGCUUUCGCCUGUGACGAAGCGUGAGUGACGGUAAUGGGUAAAGAAGCACCGGCUAACUACGUG
RNAcentral lists this ribosomal RNA (466 nucleotides) under uncultured bacterium. RNAcentral's name for it is "partial 16S ribosomal RNA". It matches the Rfam family "Bacterial small subunit ribosomal RNA", at positions 30 to 507 of the family's 1533-position model. The record is from RNAcentral.